CACGUAGGCGGAUUAGAAAGUCAGAGGUGAAAUCCCAGGGCUCAACCUUGGAACUGCCUUUGAAACUCCUAGUCUUGAGGUCGAGAGAGGUGAGUGGAAUUCCGAGUGUAGAGGUGAAAUUCGUAGAUAUUCGGAGGAACACCAGUGGCGAAGGCGGCUCACUGGCUCGAUACUGACGCUGAGGUGCGAAAGCGUGGGGAGCAAACA
This 207-nucleotide ribosomal RNA is filed under the name uncultured bacterium. RNAcentral describes it as "partial 16S ribosomal RNA". It matches the Rfam family "Bacterial small subunit ribosomal RNA", at positions 568 to 774 of the family's 1533-position model. The record is from RNAcentral.